GCGAGGGUGGCGGAAUUGGCAGACGCGCCGGAUUUAGGUUCCGGUGGGGGUAACCCCGUGGAGGUUCAAGUCCUCUCCUUCGCA
RNAcentral lists this transfer RNA (84 nucleotides) under Myxococcales bacterium. Its description in RNAcentral is "tRNA-Leu". It matches the Rfam family "tRNA". From Rfam's summary of the family: Transfer RNA (tRNA) molecules are approximately 80 nucleotides in length. Their secondary structure includes four short double-helical elements and three loops (D, anti-codon, and T loops). The record is from RNAcentral. Lineage: Bacteria; Pseudomonadati; Myxococcota; Myxococcia; Myxococcales.